CACGUAGGGCGCAAGCGUUGUCCGGAAUUAUUGGGCGUAAAGAGCUCGUAGGCGGUCUGUUGCGUCCGCUGUGAAAACUCGGGGCUUAACCCCGAGCCUGCAGUGGAUACGGGCAGACUAGAGGUAGGUAGGGGAGAAUGGAAUUCCCGGUGUAGCGGUGAAAUGCGCAGAUAUCGGGAGGAACACCGGUGGCGAAGGCGGUUCUCUGGGCCUUACCUGACGCUGAGAGCGAAAGCGUGGGGAGCGAACAGGAUU
This 255-nucleotide ribosomal RNA is filed under the name uncultured bacterium. RNAcentral's name for it is "partial 16S ribosomal RNA". It matches the Rfam family "Bacterial small subunit ribosomal RNA", at positions 524 to 779 of the family's 1533-position model. The record is from RNAcentral.